Molecule: RNA transcript, 1165 nt
Organism: Arabidopsis lyrata subsp. lyrata
Lineage: Eukaryota; Viridiplantae; Streptophyta; Magnoliopsida; Brassicales; Brassicaceae
Gene name: photosynthetic NDH subunit of lumenal location 4, chloroplastic
Exons: 6
Source: RefSeq, a predicted model, not a curated record
AAAUACAAGUGGGUCCCACAAUCAUAUCCAUUGUUGUUGUUUUUUCCCGUUGAACUCCCUAAAGACUCUCAGACCAAAGGCUCUGGCUUCACGCAGAUAAGGAAGCAGAGAACGAAACGAAGAAUCAAAGAAGAAGAGUCAAUCAAUGGCGAUGUCUACUUUAACACUUACACAAUCUCUCUAUACACGUUCCUUCAGACCCACCAUCUUCUCUUCUUCUUCUUCUUCCUCAUCCUUCUCGUGUCUCUGUUCUUCCCCCAAUUGCGAGCCGAAACUCUCCGUAAAGAAACGCGUUUUCGGAGUGGGUUUAGGGUUAUUAGCUGCUUCGAUUCUCUCUCUGACGCCUCUGGACGCAGACGCAACGAGGAUUGACUACUACGCCACUGUAGGAGAUCCUCUCUGUGAAUACAGCUACGCAAAAUCGGGACUUGGAUUUUGCGAUCUCGAUGUUGGAUUUGGUGAUGAAGCCCCUCGUGGCGUUCUCGUCAAUAUCCAUUACACGGCGAGGUUUGCAGAUGGAACAUUGUUUGACAGUAGCUAUAAGCGUGCAAGACCACUUACUAUGCGAAUUGGGGUCGGCAAGGUUAUUAGGGGUCUAGACCAAGGGAUUCUUGGAGGCGAAGGAGUACCUCCUAUGCGAGUAGGCGGGAAGCGUAAACUUCAGAUUCCACCUAAGUUAGCUUAUGGACCAGAGCCUGCAGGAUGCUUUUCUGGUGACUGUAACAUACCUGGAAAUGCAACUUUGCUCUAUGAUAUCAACUUUGUUGAGAUCUACCCGGGAAGUAAUACAAGAUGAAGCCAACUCCAAUUUUCGUUUGGUAAAGGAAGAAACAACUAUGUAUAUGAUGUAUAUUACCAGGAAAAACACAUUGCAGGAACUGAUUUUGGGUUCAAUUUACAGAGCACCAGAGAGGUUCUUAAAGGCUGAUGUUACUUUGUAUACAUCUGAAGAGCAAGAAUCAUAUCAGUACAAUAAGUCCUUCAAAGAAUGGUAUGGUGGGCUAGUUGUAUGUAUAGAAAGAUUAUAUGACCCGUGUAUGUUUUCUAGUGAUGAUGAUACACAUUUUUUAAGCUUUAUGUGAUCUUUACUAUCCAUUUUUGGAUGUUUCUUUUAGUAAUGUAUGUAAAAAGAGAAAGAGAGUGGGUGAAAAGAGUUAGAAUAUUA